Molecule: ribosomal RNA, 478 nt
Filed under: uncultured bacterium
Lineage: Bacteria
Description: bacterial SSU rRNA
Rfam family: Bacterial small subunit ribosomal RNA
Source: RNAcentral
AGGACGACGGCUGGCGGCGUGCCUAACACAUGCAAGUCGAGCGGGGCAGGGGCGGAUGGCAACUGAAGCCUCUACCUAGCGGCGGACGGGUGAGUAACGCGUGGGCAACCUGCCUCAAGGGAUCGGGAUAACAGCUCGAAAGGGCUGCUAAUACCGGAUGCGCUCACGGCCUCGCAUGGGGCUGUGAGCAAAGGGGAAACCCGCCUUGAGAUGGGCCCGCGUCCCAUCAGCUAGUUGGUGAGGUGAAAGCUCACCAAGGCGACGACGGGUAGCCGGCCUGAGAGGGUGACCGGCCACACUGGGACUGAGACACGGCCCAGACUCCUACGGGGGGCAGCAGUGGGGGAUCUUGCACAAUGGGCGAAAGCCUGAUGCAGCGACGCCGCGUGAGCGAAGAAGGCCUUCGGGUUGUAAAGCUCUGUCUGGAGGGACGAAACAAAUGACGGUACCUCCGGAGGAAGCCACGGCUAACUACGUG